UCUCGAUGGUAGUGUAUUGGACUACCAUGGCGGUAACGGGUAACGGAGAAUUAGGGUUCGAUUCCGGAGAGGGAGCCUGAGAAACGGCUACCACUUCUACGGAAGGCAGCAGGCGCGUAAAUUACCCAAUCCUGACUCAGGGAGGUAGUGACAAGAAAUAGCGACUCGUGUACACAAGUAUUACGAGAUUGCAAUGAGGUCCAAUUUAAAGCACUUAGUGAGGAACAAUUGGAGGGCAAGUCUGGUGCCAGCAGCCGCGGUAAUUCCAGCUCCAAUAGCGUAUAUUAAAGUUGUUGCAGUUAAAAAGCUCGUAGUUGAACUUCUGACCGGAUUCCUGCUCUUUAAGAGAUUUGUGAGUCUUGGUCAUCCCUCUUGAGUCUUAUUCACGUCCUUUGUUGUGUCGGGAUAGGAUGAAGAGAUUUUACUUUGAAAAAAUUAGAGUGUUUCAAGCAGGCGAUUUGCUGGAAUACAUUAGCAUGGAAUAAUAGAAGAUGACUUUGGAUAUUUUAUUGGUUAUUGUCCAAGGUAAUGAUUAACAGGGACAGUUGGGGGCAUUAGUAUUUAAUUGUCAGAGGUGAAAUUCAUUGAUUAAUUAAAGACUAACUUAUGCGAAAGCAUUUGCCAAGGAUGUUUUCAUUAAUCAAGAACGAAAGUUAGGGGAUCAAAGACGAUCAGAUACCGUC
RNAcentral lists this ribosomal RNA (683 nucleotides) under uncultured ciliate. RNAcentral's name for it is "SSU rRNA". It matches the Rfam family "Eukaryotic small subunit ribosomal RNA", at positions 320 to 1019 of the family's 1831-position model. Lineage: Eukaryota; Ciliophora. The record is from RNAcentral.